RNAcentral lists this ribosomal RNA (467 nucleotides) under uncultured bacterium. RNAcentral's name for it is "bacterial SSU rRNA". It matches the Rfam family "Bacterial small subunit ribosomal RNA", at positions 329 to 793 of the family's 1533-position model. The record is from RNAcentral.
GGCCAGACUCCUACGGGAGGCAGCAGUGAGGAAUAUUGGUCAAUGGGCGGGAGCCUGAACCAGCCAAGUCGCGUGAGGGAAGAAGGUACUGGGUAUUGUAAACCUCUUUUGCCAGGGGACAAAGGCGGCCACGGGUGGCCGUAAGAGGGUACCUGGAGAAAAAGCAUCGGCUAACUACGUGCCAGCAGCCGCGGUAAUACGUAGGGAGCAAGCGUUAUCCGGAUUUAUUGGGUGUAAAGGGUGCGUAGACGGAGAAGCAAGUUAGUUGUGAAAUCCCUUGGCUUAACUGAGGAACUGCAACUAAAACUACUUCCCUUGAGUACUGGAGAGGAAAGUGGAAUUCCUAGUGUAGCGGUGAAAUGCGUAGAUAUUAGGAGGAACACCAGUGGCGAAGGCGACUUUCUGGACAGUAACUGACGUUGAGGCACGAAAGUGUGGGGAGCAAACAGGAUUAGAUACCCCGGUAC